RNAcentral lists this ribosomal RNA (113 nucleotides) under Acanthosepion pharaonis. Lineage: Eukaryota; Metazoa; Mollusca; Cephalopoda; Sepiida; Sepiidae. The record is from RNAcentral.
UACGGCUAUAUCAGGUUUAAACAUCGGUUUUCAUACGAUCACCGUAUUUAAGCAACAUCGAGCCUGGUUACUACUUAGAUGGGUGACCGCUUGGGAAUACCAGCUGCUGUAAU